GGACUACACGGGUAUCUAAUCCUGUUCGCUCCCCACGCUUUCGUGCCUUAGCGUCAGAAACGGCCCAGCAAGCUGCCUUCGCCAUUGGUGUUCCUACUGAUAUCUACGCAUUUCACUGCUACACCAGUAAUUCCACUUGCCUCUGCCGUCCUCUAGGUAUCCAGUAUGCAAUACAGUCCACAUGGUUGAGCCACAGGAUUUCGCAUUGCACUUAAACACCCACCUACGCACGCUUUACGCCCAGUGAUUCCGGAUAACGCUUGGACCCUACGUAUUACCGCGGCUGCUGGCAC
RNAcentral lists this ribosomal RNA (293 nucleotides) under uncultured bacterium. RNAcentral's name for it is "partial 16S ribosomal RNA". The record is from RNAcentral.